Long non-coding RNA from Equus asinus (donkey), 3699 nucleotides. Lineage: Eukaryota; Metazoa; Chordata; Mammalia; Perissodactyla; Equidae. The record is from Ensembl.
GGGAGAGUCCCAGAGACAGAGACAUAAAGCCACAGUGGGGAGAGACGGAAAUGAGGUAGGCAAGACAGAAAGAAUGAGAGGGAGGAAGAGGGAAGGGACAGAAGGCAGGAGAGCCUAGAUUCUUCCUCCUAGUCUAAAAGGACCCUCACCUUCGGGGCUGGGCCUGUGGCCAAGUGGUUAAGGUUCCACACUUUCUGCUUGGGAGGCCUGGGUUCACAGGUUCAGAUCCCAGAUGCGGCCCUACUCCACUCAUCAGCCAUGCUGUGGAGGCAUCCCACAUACAAAGUAGAGGAAGAUGGGCACAGAUGUUAGUUCAGGGCUAAUAUUCCUCAAAUGAAAAGAUAAAAAAAAUAAAAGGACCCUAACCUUCCUGCAGGGAGGGUCUCUCCUCCACGAGGUUGGUGGGGGGUGUCUGAAGAAGACUCUCUCAGCCUCGAGUUCUCUGGCAGACAGUGAAAUUGGUGGUUCUCAAAGUGUGUUCCCUGGACCAGCAGCUCAGCAUGACUUGGGAGCUUGUCAGAAGUGCAAAUUCUCCUGCCUCACCCCAGACCUCCUGAAUCAAAGACUGCGGGGUAGGGCCCAGCAUCUGUGUUUUAACAAGCCCUCCAGGUGUUUCUGCUGCACGCUCGAGUUUGAGAACCACACCCUGAAGUUGCAGUGCUUGGCCUCCAGUGCUGUGAACUGCUCUCAGUCCCCGCCACGGGGCUGCUGUCUUCCAAGAGGAGUGACGUGGGUGGUCUUGAGAGCUGGCACCAUCUUCAGAGUCACUCAAAUGAUACCUCUGUAGCCUUCAAUUACCUGUAGGAAUUGGGGGAACAGGAGGAAGUGUCAAGGAACAGCCCAGAGGAAGAAAAAAGACAACCUGGAGAAAAGGAUGCUUAGAAGGGCAAGGCUGCAGCUGGUGCGUGCAGCUCUUAAGUAGCAGGCUCUCAGCUCCUGCCAUGCAGGACGAUGAUGGAAAGGGGGCACUAAUGGGAAAGCAGUCUGACCCCAGCUUCAGGUGAAUUUGAUGGAGGGUCAAUUUGGGGAUAAUUGUGGUGCGCUGUCUGGAUUCUGCUGGGAGAGGGCAGAUGGGGACAGGAGCAGGGAUGGGUAGAGGGUAGAAGGGAGAGGAGUGGGGGGCAGGGAGGGAGAGAGAUGCUGGGGAACAGGGGGCCCAGGCAGAGGCCCCUGCUCCAGGCCUGGAGUUUCCAGAAGACCAUCAUCAUUGUCCAGCCAUCCACAUUGUUCUUCUGGCUUCUGAGGCUGGAGACCAGGGGUGAGGAGCUUGGUGUGGCCCUCAAGGAGAGGCCUGUUCUCAUUUCAGCGGGUGUGGGUAUUAAGUUUGGUCCAUGUGCUGGCAGUGGGCAGGAUGGUCAGUGACCUCAAACUCAAAGUCUUCAGGCUCCGGGCAGAUAACAUAAGAGAGAAGCACAGCCUGGGAGGAAAUGCCAGGGCAGACACUGUCUCCUGGGGAUUGUGUGAACUGGAAAUACAGGCCCUGUCUAGACCGUUCAGCAGCCACCAGACUCCAGCCUGUUAGCACCCAGAAACGUCACUCCCCGCCACCAGGCUGAUCAAAUCCAGAUGGAGGUAUACAGCAGCAGGUCCUGCAAGAGAAGUUACAAGAAGCUCACAUACUGCCUGCGUGCCAGGGGCAGCUCUGUCUGGGCUGGCCGUGGGGAACGGGGCUUCGAAGGGUCCCAGACUCCAUUCUGCAGCGAUGCGGGGCAGCAAAGCAUUUUACAGUGAGGACCACCAUUGUCUGAUCCCUCUAAGAAUGGGUCUUGAAUUUCUGAUGCCAGUUUCUCCCUCAAGGGCCAGGGUAAUGCUGGGCAUCCUGCGUGCAUUCUUUCCAUAAGCCCCCUGCCUUCAGGAAUAUAAAAUGUUUAUCUUUUCUGCUUGACACAGCACAGCUGAGAACCAAAAAGUGAAAUAACCUGUGCUGAGUCAUCAGCCGGGAGGCGGGGGAUUGGAGGCAGGAAAAAUAAAUGUAGCAUCUCCCCCUGGGGGCUCCCGUCAAAGACUGUCGAAGGGAGGGUCCGACAGGUAGGGAGGAGAGGGGGGAGCUUGAGGAGCAGGACUCCCCGUGGUCUGUACUGGUCCAGGAACCCCUUUGGCUGUGGCCUUGAGCAGCAGCUGCAGCUCCUCUCACCUUUCCCUCCUCCAGAUGUCCUCAAACAUCCUAAUAUUUAUUUCUACUUGGGAACAGCAGCAAAUCAACAAAGGCAUGUCAAGGACGCCCUCACCUUCCUCUAUGAGGCUCCGAGCCCUAUUUCUGAUUUUCUAAUUGGAGCGAGUGAAUUCAACUCUGGGGCUGCUUUGAACUCUCGUCUCUGCCAAUUAACCCUCCCGGGGAAGGCUGAAGCGCCUCUUAGAAGUGGCAGAAUGCGAGAGAAGCAAUCACCUAGCUGUGUGAACUUGGGAAGGAAUCUGGAGAUGUGACUGCUUCACGAACAGACCUUCAACCAAUUCUCCUAAUUUUUGCACCCUUCCCCGUCACCUCCACUUCCAGAAGUAACUGGUGCUGGCAGUUUUCGAGACUUCUGGGGAUUCUGGCUCACAAAUCGGGGUGGUUUUCCACAUUCUGCACUGUUGGCUUAGGAUUUAAUUUUUUCUCCAUUUUCUUGGGUCUGCUAAGUAAAUUAUCCCUUAUCUAGCUGCUUUUCACAUUUCAAAUUUUGCUGCUGUUUUCUACCCUCCCAUUUUCCCCAUUCAUGUGAGUCUGUGCCUUAAAAAAAGUCUCUUUACUAGCAUUUUAAUGGGAUUUCCAUAGAGAAUGAAAUCAAGGGUUUGCAUCUUUACACAAAACUCCCUGCUGUUCAAAUUCCCCUUCUUUUUCCCAUCCAUUUAUUCUUCCACCUAGAAAUCACGGCAGUGAAAACAAAGAAAUGCAUAACCUUAGUCGUAAGCUGUAAAGCAUUACAUUUAGUGGGAGAAUCAAAAAAGGGGCGAGGAGGUGUGAGGAAGGACGUGAAUUAUGUGUAUGUAUUAGGAAAGUGUAUCGAGCAUGAACACAGCUUAAUCUCGAUACUUUUGGAAUACACAUUUUAGGAAACAGGGCUGAACAAUGUCUUGGUUUAUGAGAUUACACUGAAAAUACAGCAAUUCAUCCUCGAGGUAUACACUAGGACUUUCUUUCAGAAUUUCCAGAGAAAGAUGAGAUUUUAAUUUUGAUCCCAAGGGGGCACGAGUUUUAAAAAAGAGGCGGGGGCAGGAUUGGCCUAAGCUCCAUGCGAAGGAAGAUGCCCUCAAUGACACGCUGAACUCUGGCUCUCCAGGCUGGAGACCUUUUAGGAUAGGUCACCAGGCAAGAAGUGCUGAUGAGCUCACUCCACUCAGCGCAGGCCUCAGCCAGGUGUCUUGCAGGUAUGCUUGUCUUUCUUUGCAGGCCUUCCCUAAAUUUGUCAUUAAUAAUAGACUCCUUCCUUUUUUAUAAUGUCGAUUAAAAUCAUGUCCUCUAAAACAAUGGUUCUUAACUCUGUGCAGCAGAAUUACUGGUGGAUCUUUCAAAAAGACUCAUAUGAGCCCUACUUUCUAUGGGCUUGGGAACCACUGCUGGAAAGCAGCUUCAUGGAGGUGGUUCAGAGGAUCUGGGAACUUCUGGAAAUUAUAGGCAACGUUGAAUCUGCCCUUUUUUUUUUUUAAAGGACCAUAGCUUUCAUCAUAUUCUUAUAAGGAAACUUCAUAGCACCUAUCAAAUACCCUACAUUAUAUGUU